GAUGAACGCUGGCGGCGUGCUUAACACAUGCAAGUCGAACGAUGAAGCCCAGCUUGCUGGGUGGAUUAGUGGCGAACGGGUGAGUAACACGUGAGUAACCUGCCCUUAACUCUGGGAUAAGCCUGGGAAACUGGGUCUAAUACCGGAUAGGAGCGUCCACCGCAUGGUGGGUGUUGGAAAGAUUUAUCGGUUUUGGAUGGACUCGCGGCGUAUCAGCUUGUUGGUGAGGUAAUGGCUCACCAAGGCGACGACGGGUAGCCGGCCUGAGAGGGUGACCGGCCACACUGGGACUGAGACACGGCCCAGACUCCUACGGGAGGCAGCAGUGGGGAAUAUUGCACAAUGGGCGCAAGCCUGAUGCAGCGACGCCGCGUGAGGGAUGACGGCCUUCGGGUUGUAAACCUCUUUCAGUAGGGAAGAAGCGAAAGUGACGGUACCUGCAGAAGAAGCACCGGCUAACUACGUG
This 466-nucleotide ribosomal RNA is filed under the name uncultured bacterium. Its description in RNAcentral is "partial 16S ribosomal RNA". It matches the Rfam family "Bacterial small subunit ribosomal RNA", at positions 28 to 507 of the family's 1533-position model. The record is from RNAcentral.